GACGUAGGUGGCGAACGUUAUCCGGAAUUAUUGGGCGUAAAGGGUGCGUAGAUGGCCUGAUAAGUUAGCAGUGGGAAAUCGAGGCUCAACCUCGUGGAAGCUGGUAAUACUGUCAGGCUCGAGUGCAGGAGAGGUUAACGGAACUCCAUGUGGAGCGGUAAAAUGUGUAGAUAUAUGGAAAAACAUCAAUAACGGCGAAGGCAGUUAACUAGUCUGUUACUGACGUUGAGGCACGAAAGCGUGGGGAGCAAAACGG
RNAcentral lists this ribosomal RNA (256 nucleotides) under uncultured bacterium. RNAcentral describes it as "partial 16S ribosomal RNA". It matches the Rfam family "Bacterial small subunit ribosomal RNA", at positions 524 to 776 of the family's 1533-position model. The record is from RNAcentral.